This 441-nucleotide ribosomal RNA is filed under the name uncultured bacterium. RNAcentral describes it as "partial 16S ribosomal RNA". It matches the Rfam family "Bacterial small subunit ribosomal RNA", at positions 338 to 795 of the family's 1533-position model. The record is from RNAcentral.
CCUACGGGUGGCAGCAGUAGGGAAUCUUGCGCAAUGGGCGAAAGCCUGACGCAGCAACGCCGCGUGAUUGAUUAAGGCAUUCGGGAUGUUAAGCUCUGUCAGUGGGGGCGAAACUUCACGGUACCCACAGAGGAAGCAUCUGCUAAAUCCGUGCCAGCAGCCUCGGUACUACGGAGGGUGCAAGCGUUGUCCGGAAUCAUUGGGCUUAACGAGUUCGUAGGUGGCAUAUGAAGUCUGGUGUUAAAUGCAGAAGCUCAACUUCUGUUCGGCACUUGAUACUGGUAAGCUUGAACGCGGUAGAGGUAAAGGGAAUGCCUGGGGUAGCGGUGAAAUGCGUAGAUAUCAGGAGGAACAUCGGUGGCGUAGGCGCUUUACUGGGCCGUAAAUGACGCUGAGGAGCGAAAGCCGGGGUAGCAAACGGGAUUAGAUACCCUGGUAGUC